ACCCACGUUCGGAUUGCAGGCUGCAACCCGCCUGCACGAAGCCGGAGUUGCUAGUAAUCGCGAAUCAGAAUGUCGCGGUGAAUGCGUUCCCGGGUCUUGUACACACCGCCCGUCACACCAUGGAAGUUGGGGGUGCCCAAAGCCGGCAAGCAAAUAUGCUGUCUAAGGCAAAACCAAUGACUGGGGUGAAGUCGUAACAAGGUACC
This 206-nucleotide ribosomal RNA is filed under the name uncultured bacterium. Its description in RNAcentral is "partial 16S ribosomal RNA". It matches the Rfam family "Bacterial small subunit ribosomal RNA", at positions 1285 to 1500 of the family's 1533-position model. The record is from RNAcentral.